This 253-nucleotide ribosomal RNA is filed under the name uncultured Hamadaea sp. Its description in RNAcentral is "partial 16S ribosomal RNA". It matches the Rfam family "Bacterial small subunit ribosomal RNA", at positions 524 to 776 of the family's 1533-position model. Lineage: Bacteria; Bacillati; Actinomycetota; Actinomycetes; Micromonosporales; Micromonosporaceae. The record is from RNAcentral.
GACGUAGGGCGCGAGCGUUGUCCGGAUUUAUUGGGCGUAAAGAGCUCGUAGGCGGUUCAUUGCGUCGUCGGUGAAAUUCCGCAGCUCAACUGGGGAAUUGCCGACGAUACGGGUGGGCUGGAGUUCGGUAGGGGAGACUGGAAUUCCUGGUGUAGCGGUGAAAUGCGCAGAUAUCAGGAGGAACACCGGUGGCGAAGGCGGGUCUCUGGGCCGAUACUGACGCUGAGGAGCGAAAGCGUGGGGAGCGAACAGG